UUCGAGCCCCAAAACGUGAAAUUAUUGAAACUAUGUUUUUCUAUAAAUAGAAGCUCAUUCUUCUUCAUUUCUCACUAAUUCACCAAAGCUUUAGAGCCAUUAUUAUAGAGAGAAAUUAUAGAGAGAAGCUAUAGAAAGAAAAUCUAUAGAGAGAAAUAAGAAGAGAAGUCUGCUUCCUUUCUAUUCCAAUAUCAAGUUUCUUCUAAGGUAAGGGG
RNAcentral lists this long non-coding RNA (215 nucleotides) under Panax ginseng (ginseng). RNAcentral's name for it is "long non-coding RNA (PGIN_LNC002401)". The record is from RNAcentral. Lineage: Eukaryota; Viridiplantae; Streptophyta; Magnoliopsida; Apiales; Araliaceae.